CCUACGGGGGGCUGCAGUGAGGAAUAUUGGUCAAUGGACGAGAGUCUGAACCAGCCACGUAGCGUGAAGGAUGACUGCCCUAUGGGUUGUAACCUCCUUUUAUAUGGGAAUAAAAUAGGUUAUGUAUACCCUCUUGUAUGUACCAUAUGUACAAGGAUAGGCUAACUCCGUGCCAGCAGCCGCGGUAAUACGGAGGAUACGAGCGUUAUACGGAUUUAUAGGGUUGAAAGGGUGCGUAGGUGGAUUGUUAAGUCAGUUGUGAAAGUUUGCGGCUCAACCGUAAAAUUGCAGUUGAAACUGGCAGUCUUGAGUACAGUAGAGGUGGGCGGAAUUCGUGGUGUAGCGGUGAAAUGCUUAGAUAUCACGAAGAACUCCGAUUGCGAAGGCAGCUCACUGGACUGCAACUGACACUGAUGCUCGAAAGUGUGGGUAUCAAACAGGAUUAGAUACCCUUGUAGUC
This 460-nucleotide ribosomal RNA is filed under the name uncultured bacterium. RNAcentral describes it as "partial 16S ribosomal RNA". It matches the Rfam family "Bacterial small subunit ribosomal RNA", at positions 338 to 795 of the family's 1533-position model. The record is from RNAcentral.